UACGUAGGUGGCAAGCGUUGUCCGGAUUUACUGGGCGUAAAGAGCGUGUAGGCGGUCCGAUAAGUCCGCUCUGAAAGCCCGGGGCUCAACCCCGGGAGGCGGGCGGAUACUGUCGGGCUAGAGUCCGGAAGAGGCAAGUGGAAUUCCUGGUGUAGCGGUGAAAUGCGCAGAUAUCAGGAGGAAGACCAGUGGCGAAGGCGGGUCUCUGGACAGUUCCUGACACUGAGGCACGAAGGCCAGGGGAGCAAACGGG
RNAcentral lists this ribosomal RNA (253 nucleotides) under uncultured bacterium. RNAcentral describes it as "partial 16S ribosomal RNA". It matches the Rfam family "Bacterial small subunit ribosomal RNA", at positions 524 to 776 of the family's 1533-position model. The record is from RNAcentral.